GUUUAUCAAAUUUUUAGACAAUUCAAAUAAUUAAUACGAUAUAAACCAUUCAAGGAAGGAGUAUAAUAAAAUGACUAAUCUUAAUACGCAACAUCAACCAACAACAUCAAAUAUUAUUAUUUUAUUAUACUCUUUAGGACUCGAACGUUAGUAAGAUUUUACUAAACGCUUUAAGUCCUAUUUCUGCUUGAAUGGGACUUAUAAA
This 205-nucleotide small RNA is filed under the name Staphylococcus simiae CCM 7213 = CCUG 51256. RNAcentral's name for it is "Staphylococcus simiae CCM 7213 Listeria sRNA rli60". It matches the Rfam family "Listeria sRNA rli60". The record is from Rfam by way of RNAcentral. Lineage: Bacteria; Bacillati; Bacillota; Bacilli; Caryophanales; Staphylococcaceae.